RNAcentral lists this long non-coding RNA (513 nucleotides) under Elaeis guineensis (African oil palm). RNAcentral describes it as "long non-coding RNA (EGUI_LNC018559)". Lineage: Eukaryota; Viridiplantae; Streptophyta; Magnoliopsida; Arecales; Arecaceae. The record is from RNAcentral.
GUUGGCACAUGAAUUAAGAACUCUGUCGAUUAAGAAACAUGGCCCUGUCACAGGUAUAAUAGUGACCUUAGCACGAAUAUCUGUGAGCAAUGAUUUGAAACAUGACAUGAAUACAUGAUGAAAAUGAUUUACGAUUCAUAAUUGUGAAAUAUACAUGACUUAUGCAUGCAUGAUGAGCUUAUAACUUGUUUUAUUAUAUGCUCUAUGAAAUAUUUAUUUUUGCAAUAAUUGUUAUUUGCUAAAUGAUGCAUUAUUAUAGAAAACUUAUGCUUGAUCCGGUAAGGAAGCAGAAGUCUACUUACUGAGCUAGUGUAGCUCAUAUUCUUUUUAUUUUCUUUUUCAUGUACAGAGAAAUAAGGCUAGGACCGAAGAAAAGGGAAUCCAGGCUUGGGGAUCAGCAAAGCAAGUUUAGAAAUUUUGCUCUAGGGAUUCAGUUUAUGUUUAUGGAUUGUAGUCAUUAUGAAUUUUAAGACUUGGAUUAUUUUAUCUCUGGAUUUAGAUGCUCUGAACCAG